This 465-nucleotide ribosomal RNA is filed under the name uncultured bacterium. Its description in RNAcentral is "partial 16S ribosomal RNA". It matches the Rfam family "Bacterial small subunit ribosomal RNA", at positions 28 to 507 of the family's 1533-position model. The record is from RNAcentral.
GACGAACGCUGGCGGCGUGCUUAACACAUGCAAGUCGUACGGUAAGGCCCUUUCGGGGGUACCCGAGUGGCGAACGGGUGAGUAACACGUGAGUAACCUGCCCACAACUUUGGGAUAACGCUAGGAAACUGGUGCUACUACUGGAUAUGUGCUCCUGCUGCAUGGUGGGGGUUGGAAAGCUCCGGCGGUUGUGGAUGGACUCGCGGCCUAUCAGCUUGUUGGUGGGGUAGUGGCCUACCAAGGCGGCGACGGGUAGCCGGCCUGGGAGGGUGACCGGCCACAUUGGGACUGAGAGACGGCCCAGACGCCGACGGGAGGCAGCAGUGGGGAAUAUUGCACAAUGGGCGCAAGCCUGAUGCAGCAACGCCGCGUGCGGGAUGACGGCCUUCGGGUUGUAAACCGCUUUCAGCAGGGACGAAGCUUUUUGUGACGGUACCUGCAGAAGAAGCACCGGCUAACUACGUG